Molecule: ribosomal RNA, 119 nt
Filed under: Carya illinoinensis
Lineage: Eukaryota; Viridiplantae; Streptophyta; Magnoliopsida; Fagales; Juglandaceae
Also listed under: 5 other names
Source: RNAcentral
GGGUGCGAUCAUACCAGCACUAAUGCACCGGAUCCCAUCAGAACUCCGUAGUUAAGCGUGCUUGGGCGAGAGUAGUACUAGGAUGGGUGACCUCCUGGGAAGUCCUCGUGUUGCACCCC